CACAGACAGAUAGAAGGAGGGAAGCGCCCAGGCUACUGACAGACCACAGAAAGAACAGAGCAUCAGGCCAAGCGGAGGCCUGAAGCAAAGGAGGGAGAGCAACGGGGGACAGAGACAGGAAAGUCUGUGGGUUACAGGGGGGCCUAGCAAUAAUGGGAACAAAGCAGCAUGGCCCCAGGCUGUCCUUGGCCUUGAUGCUUCUGAGCCUCAGAGCUGGGUGUGCCCAAGAAGGGUCGGAGCCUGUCCUGCUGGAGGGGGAGUGCCUGGUGGUCUGUGAGCCAGGUCGACCUGCUGCAGGGGGUCCUGGGGGAGCAGCCCUGGGAGAGGCACCACCAGGACGAGUGGCCUUUGCUGCAGUCCGAAGCCACCACCAUGAACCGGCAGGGGAAACCGGCAAUGGAACCAGUGGGGCCAUCUACUUCGACCAGGUCCUGGUGAAUGAGGGUGGUGGCUUUGAUCGGACCUCAGGCUGCUUCGUGGCUCCUGUCCGUGGAGUCUACAGCUUCCGAUUCCAUGUGGUAAAGGUGUACAAUCGCCAAACUGUCCAGGUGAGUCUGAUGCUGAACACGUGGCCAGUCAUUUCAGCCUUUGCAAACGACCCUGAUGUGACCCGAGAGGCAGCCACAAGCUCUGUGCUGCUUCCCCUGGACCCUGGGGACCGGGUGUCCCUGCGCCUUCGUCGGGGGAAUCUUCUGGGUGGCUGGAAGUAUUCAAGCUUCUCCGGCUUCCUCAUCUUCCCACUCUGAAGACCCAUGCCUUUAAAAGACAGAUAGCUAGCAUCUGACCCUUCUGCCCUCCCCUGCCCCAGAAACAAGUAUGGAGCAAGAGAAAGGCCCCUCCUUGCAUGUGACCCUGUGGGAAACACCCAAGGCUAAGAGUAGAAGAGAGCAGUGCUAUGGAAUCUCCUCACCACUACUGCUCAAGUUGCCCUUCCAGCCUCCUGCCUGCAGCUCGGGCUGAAAGCAGGAUUUGGCACAAGGAAGGCUAUCACUGCUUCAUUCUCCACUCCUCUGCUCUCCACCCCAGCUUCCUGCUCAGUGCUAUUUGGUGACAGGUGGCACAGUCUUACAGAGCAUGGCUAUUCUCUGAUCAAGGUUCACAGAGUUGAAGUAAGGUGGAAGAAGAGGGAAGAAACCACUUUCAAACUCAUUUAGAAUUCUGCUCCUCAGAGCUGUGGCACUGAUAUCCCCAGACCCCUUUGUUUUCCAGCCAAAAGCUGCAGUCCCGGCCCCUCCCUUUGCCUCUCUCCAGCCUAUGCCUGCCUGCCACAUCUUUCUGACCUCCACGGGAAAAGUUCAGGAAUCUGGACCCACCCAGAAUGUGCAGAACACUUUCUAUUUUAAGGUCCUCACCUGCAGUGUGUAUGCAAAGCCCCAUUCGGUGUAACAGCACAUGGAGACAUCUUGGUGAUUAGGGUAGGGGCUCUGGGAGAUCUGCAUACCACAGACUUUGAAUCUUGGCGCAAUUCACCCAUCACGCGGAGAGAUGUGAGUCUGAGACAACCAAGAUAAAGAUCAGCGCCAACACAGGUUUUGUCUUGUUUUGUCUUAUUUUUCAGGCUAUUUUUGUUUUAUUCGGAUGGGUGUUUUGUCUGUGCACCACAUGCAUACAGUUCCCUCAGAGGCCAGAAAAGGGUGUCAGAGCCCUUGAGACUGGAGCUAUGAGCCACCAUGCGGGUGCCGGGAAUGUCAGCUGGAUCCUGUGCAAAAGCAGCCAGCGCUCUUAACCACUGAGCCAUCCCUCCAGCUCCCCAACACUCACACACACACACACACACACACACACACACACACACACAUGCACACACAUACACACACAUGCACACACACAGGUUUAAUCAUCUUAGAAGAAAAAUAAUUUCCUACCUAGCCAAGAAUUCAUUGGUUGCUAGUCCAAGACUUCCUUCCCAUGGAGAGAAUGUUCCCUCUUUUCUUAUGACCCAGAAACAAAUAACUGAUCUUUAGGCCGCACAGUUGUGUAUCCUAAUUUUUUUUUCAUUUUUGAAUUUGAAAACCAAAUUCAAAAUUUGGUCUGAGUGAGAGAGCAUCCAUUUCGUAAUGUACAAACUCACUUUUCCAACGGUGGAGUGGAGGUUUAAGACUGCGCAGCCCAGUCUAGUAUGGUGGCAUACGUGUAAAGUCGGCACUUGAAAUAGGAAGAUCCGGAGUUGAGAGCUGCCUGGGCUGCACGGACCGUUACACAUGCACACAGACAAAACUUGUAGAAUGUGUGCGGUGAUGGGUUUGCUUUAUCAAAAUGUUCAAAGCUUUUAAAGGAGCAGACCUAUCAGACUUGUGACUCCAUUAAAAUAUUCAGGAGGAUUUAAUUGAAUUUGUAACAAUGUUUAAGUGAUUUGACUUAUAAAAUGUAUAGAAUCCUA
Molecule: RNA transcript, 2380 nt
Organism: Psammomys obesus (fat sand rat)
Lineage: Eukaryota; Metazoa; Chordata; Mammalia; Rodentia; Muridae
Gene: Cbln3
Gene name: cerebellin 3 precursor
Exons: 4
Source: RefSeq, a predicted model, not a curated record